Molecule: ribosomal RNA, 253 nt
Filed under: uncultured bacterium
Lineage: Bacteria
Description: partial 16S ribosomal RNA
Rfam family: Bacterial small subunit ribosomal RNA
Source: RNAcentral
UACGUAGGGCGCAAGCGUUGUCCGGAAUUAUUGGGCGUAAGGGGCUCGUAGGCGGUUUGUCGCGUCGGGGGUGAAAACCUUGGGCUUAACUCAGGGCUUGCUUUCGAUACGGGCAGACUAGAGGUAUGCAGGGGAGAACGGAAUUCCUGGUGUAGCGGUGAAAUGCGCAGAUAUCAGGAGGAACACCGGUGGCGAAGGCGGUUCUCUGGGCAUGAUCUGACGCUGAGGUGCGAAAGCGUGGGGAGCAAACGGG